CGAAAGCCUGACGGAGCAAGACCGCGUGAGGGACGAAGGCUCUUGGGUCGUAAACCUCUUUUCUCAGGGAAGAACAAAAUGACGGUACCUGAGGAAUCAGCAUCGGCUAACUCCGUGCCAGCAGCCGCGGUAAUACGGAGGAUGCAAGCGUUAUCCGGAAUGAUUGGGCGUAAAGCGUCCGUAGGUGGUCUUUCAAGUCUGCCGUUAAAGGUCGGGGCUUAACUCCGAAAAGGCGGUGGAAACUGAAAAACUCGAGAUAGGUAGGGGUAGAGGGAAUUCCCGGUGUAGCGGUGAAAUGCGUAGAGAUCGGGAAGAACAUCGGUGGCGAAAGCGCUCUACUGGACCUGUUCUGACACUGAGGGACGAAAGC
RNAcentral lists this ribosomal RNA (370 nucleotides) under uncultured cyanobacterium. Its description in RNAcentral is "bacterial SSU rRNA". It matches the Rfam family "Bacterial small subunit ribosomal RNA", at positions 376 to 760 of the family's 1533-position model. Lineage: Bacteria; Bacillati; Cyanobacteriota. The record is from RNAcentral.